CGUAGCGGUGCAUCGCCCGCCGCCCCUCUAGCCCAGGCCGUGGAUACGUUUUCCCUUUAAGGUGAAAGGCGUUCGGUGCGGGCGAGGGGGAGGCCGCUUAGUUUCCAUACGGGUGGGGCUUCUUGGACCGUGGUGCGCCACGCGCCGAGAUUUUCGGUUAAUUUGGAAGAGCCCUCCGCCCUUAACCAAAAAGGCCGCCACCCGCCGGCGUUCCUGUCCGAAAAAAAUUUGCGCCGCCCGGGAAUCGAACCCGGGUCAAUACCUUGGGAGGGUACCAUCAUGCCACUAGACCAGCGGCGCCGUACAACAAGCCCGAACUAAGCUUUACUUCAGAAUAGGUUCCGCAGCGAGGAAAACGUGGACGAGUAGGGGAUCGAACCCUAGGCCUUCCGUAUGCGAAACGGACGCUCUACCACUGAGCUACACGCCCAUCGAAAGGUCCAAGUGCUGUAGAGACACCAAUGGUGGAUGUGCAAAUGUUUAUAUUUUGUCGCGCCGUAUAAGGUGAGAUGGUCGAGUGGUCUAAGACGUUGGAUUAAGGUUCCAAUCCUUUCGAGGGCGUGGGUUCAAACCCCACUCUCAUCAUUUUUCGCGCCACAGGCGCUUGUCGCCCCCGCUGCCGUACCGACGCGACGACGAGUACGACCACACUUGAGUGAAAACACCAUAUCCCGUCCGAUUUGUGAAGUUAAGCACUCACAGGCUCCGUUAGUACUGAGGUCAGUGAUGACUCGGGAACCCUGAGUGCCGUACUCCUUUUUUUCCGCCGCACCGUUUUCGUGCUCACCCUGCCCUGUUGGUCUUGGGAGGCGGCGAAGCAGCGAGUGGAACGUUGUUCAAGUCAGUCGUCUUUCUGUUCUCGCGGCGCAAAGGAGGAGAGCGUGGGGGCUGUGAGCACAGAUUAUGAGACCACCUGGUUGCGUUCUUCGGAAAAGGGCUGGGAUGGGGAUAGGGGAAGCCCGCGAUGCCUUUAGCCAAGUAUCGGUGUUUCUUAAACUAUGGGGACGGAGGACGUCCUGUUGUGUUGUUGGAAGUUCUUCGGUUGACUAUGCAAGCGGUAGGAAAAGAUGUCUUUUGUUCGUGUAAGCAGCAAAGUAUGAUUGUGCCUCACCUCUCCCUCUACUUGCGCAACGAAGUUGGGCAGAGGAUGUGCAGCUGGAUCAUGUUCUCUUGAAUCUCAGUGGCCGCUGGCAGCAAGGCUCGAAAAGGAGGUUCACUUUAGUUUGUUCUCAUAUUGUCAUUACUCAGGUGCACUGUUCGUCUGAGAUUUCUUGAUAUGACGCAUAAUGUAGUGGAGGUUUCUUUGGAGUUUUUGCCUUGAUAGCGCUGAUUACGAAGGGCAUCUCCGUGCGUGGCAUCUCAGGGUCCACCGCGCACCUUCUCUUUUGGGAGGCCGAGCAGCCCCCCCUCCCCCUUCCCUCUCGCUCUAUCCUUGCCAGUGCUGAACAGCCCCCGGUGGUGACAGGGCCAAGCAUCUAUGGCGUAGGGGUGGCCAGAGCGAUGUAUCCCCACGGAUGCCGGCGGCCGGGCCGUGGAUGGCGCUGCGUCGGGGCGGCCUGUGACCGUGCACGCGCCCGUGCCGUCCAUGUGAUGGGCGGGGUGUGUGCGCGACCCGAGCGUAUCCCACGCCCGGCCCUCACGCUGCCUACUGGUGGGUGGGCCCGGGUGCCGCCGCGAGGGAUGCACGACGUGGCGACCCGCCUGCUGUGCGCGGCUGCGAGGCGACCUGCGGGGCGGGAGGUGGGCAGUGCUCCGAUGACUGAGUCGGCGCAUUGCUGCACCGCGUGUCUGGCGCUGCUUCGCACCGCGCGAUGGGGGCGUGUGACAUGCCUGGUAGAGUGAAGUUUUACUCAUUGUGCGCUAGGACGUUCGUGUUAAAUGACCGUAUUUUGCCUUGGGAGCACUGUCGACCGGGAUGAAGGAGUCGAUGCAGUAAUAUGUGAUGUUUCAUUUCUCUUCUUCAAUUAGUCGAAAAACUGAACGAGGGCUUUGUGCAUGCAGCGUGGUUGCAUGGCUUGCGAAUUCGCGAAGUAGAGCUGAAUUCUCUCUUCUGUGAAAGCUUUUUGUUUGAGUGUCAAGCGUGAGAACGCGCAAGGGUGAGAGGCAGCCCUUGAAGGAGAUCUGGGUUGACAUCUUGCUAGUGUGUCGAAAGAGCUAAGCAGCUAAAACGGGUAAAAAGGGGACGAUUUUCGACUGUGCGAGCAAAGUCAUAGAUCUUGGGAGGUCGUGGCGUGGAGCAUGUGUGUAUCAUGUGACCUCGUUUCUUCAAGGGUUGAGAAAAAAGAGAAAACGACUGAUGCGCUGUGUGUUGUCAGGAGUGAAAGCAGAACUGAUCGAGUGGCGGUAUCCUCCUUUUCUAAUGGUCAACUUAGAUGCGUGGCGAAGCUGAAAGUUCCUAUGUGAAAGUCGAGGCAGAAAAAUGUUUAGUUUUCUCCCUUAUGCCCCACUGGUAAAAAAGAAGCUCCCACACGUACAUCACUUUUGCUGCAAAAGCAGACCUGGCGUUGCCAAGCCAUUUGUGCUCUCUUUGCUCUAUGAUGCCGUUAGCGGUGAGUGAAGCGCUGGAAUAUUUCUUCAGCAACCCGCUCUACUGCUUCUCAUAAGAGUGAAAAAAAAAAGAUUGUUGUGCACCUGUUGCUUUGCUGCUGCGAAGAAAAAAAAUGGAAUGCUAUCUCUCUCACAUUCGAUUUCCUCUAUUCUACUGAAACUGCAUGUUGCCAUUUGAUGAAAAUGCAAUCAACAG
This 2743-nucleotide transfer RNA is filed under the name Leishmania donovani. Lineage: Eukaryota; Euglenozoa; Kinetoplastea; Trypanosomatida; Trypanosomatidae. The record is from RNAcentral.